This 786-nucleotide long non-coding RNA is filed under the name Rattus norvegicus (Norway rat). RNAcentral describes it as "long non-coding RNA NONRATT031362". Lineage: Eukaryota; Metazoa; Chordata; Mammalia; Rodentia; Muridae. The record is from RNAcentral.
CUUACAGGUGGGCUGACUACUGACAUGCCAUCAGAGGCCACAGAAAGCCUUCUGUCUCAGUCGCCCUCAUGGAGUACUGGUGUAAAGCCUGGAGAUUCUUCUGAAUUGGUUUUCUUCAUUCUGUCCUAUUAGAUGAUUACCGAGCACUAAUCUAGAGAUGUCUUCACUGUCAAAGAUGUGGAAAUUAGUGUACUUUCAUGAUUUCAUCCCAAAGAGGAAGUUAUUGAAGAGAAGAACAAGUGUUCCUUCAGUAGGGCUGCCUUCCUAAAGGAUCUAAGAAGGAGUUUUAAAGCACCAGCAGCGGGGUUCCUUCGGCAGAAAGCCUUGAUUGAGAUGCUAAAGGCAAUGAGAACUAAGUGGAGCCGCUAAUUAGACACUUUGACUGAGCAGAGUGGGGAAAGCGAGCCCCAUGGAACAGCAGGCAUGGCCUAUGUGCCCGAUAUCUGACAACCCACAUUUUCAGGCUGCAGAGAAAGAAGAAAAUGUUCACCAUUUUAGAGUGGCUGAUAAGAAACGGGGACAGAAGCUACACCCUCCAGAUGACCAUUUCUGAUGAGCAGGAGUCUCACUUAUUAACGGAGUAAGGAUUGAUCAGGAGACAUGAAUUCUUAACAAGCAUCCUUAGACUUUUUCGAGAGGCAACUCUAACCAAGCUGAGAAUCGUCGGCGAGUAUUUUUAGGCACAAGGAUGCAUGAUUAAGAUCAAAGCCCUGCACUUGAUGACUUUCAGAGUUUGUUAAGCACCGUAACACGGGGCUGAAAUUCAAUUUGAACCACUCGUCAGCU